AUUGAACGCUGGCGGCAGGCCUAACACAUGCAAGUCGAGCGAGUGGCGGACGGGUGAGUAAUGUAUGGGGAACUGCCUGAUGGAGGGGGAUAACUACUGGAAACGGUAGCUAAUACCGCAUACCAUCAGAUGUGCCCAUAUGGGAUUAGCUUGUUGGUGGGGUAACGGCUCACCAAGGCGACGAUCCCUAGCUGGUCUGAGAGGAUGACCAGCCACACUGGGACUGAGACACGGUCCAGACUCCUACGGGAGGCAGCAGUGGUGAAGAUUGCACAAUGGGCGCAAGCCUGAUGCAGCCAUGCCGCGUGUAUGAAGAAGGCCUUCGGGUUGUAAAGUACUUUCAGUCGGGAGGCGUUACCGACAGAAGAAGCACCGGCUAACUCCGUGCCAGCAGCCGCGGUAAUAC
Molecule: ribosomal RNA, 406 nt
Filed under: uncultured bacterium
Lineage: Bacteria
Description: partial 16S ribosomal RNA
Rfam family: Bacterial small subunit ribosomal RNA
Source: RNAcentral